RNAcentral lists this long non-coding RNA (1023 nucleotides) under Takifugu rubripes (torafugu). RNAcentral's name for it is "lncRNA (ENSTRUG00000031273.1)". Lineage: Eukaryota; Metazoa; Chordata; Actinopteri; Tetraodontiformes; Tetraodontidae. The record is from RNAcentral.
AUGACCAGGUCCCCAGGAGCAUCCUGUGGGGGGUGCUCCGGGAGUAUGGAAGGUCCCUUGAUAAGGGCCGCCCAGUCCCUGAACCAAAGGAGCAGGAGUUUGGUCCGGAUAGCCGGUUGUAAGUCGUACUCGUUCCCAGUGAGGGUUGGACUCCGCCAGGGCUGCCCUUUGUCACCGGUUCUGUUCAUAACUUUUAUGGACAGAAUUUCUAAGCGCAACCGGGGAGUGGAGGGUGUCGAGUUAGGUGGGCAGAAGAUCUCGUCGCUGCUUUUUGCGGAUGACGUAGUUCUUCUGGCGCCAUUGAACAGGGACUUCCAACAAAUGCUGGGACGGUUCGCGACCGAGUGUGAAGCGGCAGGGAUGCAAAUCAGCACCUCCAAGUCAGAGUCCAUGGUCCUCGCUCGGAAAAAGGUAGAGUGCCUUCUCCGGGUUGGGGAGGAGGUCCUGCCCCAGAUGGAGGAGUUCAAGUAUCUUGGGAUCUUGUUCACGAGUGAGGGUAGGAUGGAACGGGAGAUCGACAGGCGGAUCGGAGCGGCGUCAGCAGUGAUGCGGGCGCUUAACCGAUCCGUCUUGGUGAAGAGAGAGCUGAGCCGGAAGGCAAAGCUCUCGAUUUACCGGUCGAUCUACGUCCCAGUCCUCACCUAUGGCCGUCAACGUUGGGUGAUGACCGAAAGAACAAGAUCGCGGAUACAAGCGACUGAAAUGAGUUUCCUCCGCAGGGUGGCCGGGCUCAACCUUAGAGAUAGGGUGAGAAGCUCGGACAUCCAGGAGGAGCUCGGAGUAGAACCGCUGCUCCUUCACAUCGAGAGGAGUCAGUUGGGGUGGCUCGGGCAUCUGGCUAGGAUGCCUUCCGGACGCCUCCCUUUAGAGGUGUUCCGGACAUGUCUCACCGGGAGGCGGCCUCGUGGCCGGCCCAGGACCAGGUGGAGAGAUUACAUCUCUCGCCUGGCUUGGGAGCGGCUGGGGGCCCCCGGAGGAGCCGAUGGGUGGCCAGGGAGAGGGCUGUCUGGGCAUCCCUCCUGA